UUUCCUUCUCCGGACGACCAUUGCAGGGCAUUCUAUGCAGAGAGGAGUCCGUGGUGGUUGGUGAUCAAGGGUGUUGGGAUUCCUGGGCAUGGAGCCAAACUUUAUGAUAACUCUGCUAUGGAGAAUCUUUUGAAGAGUAUUGAGACCAUCCGAAAGUAGCGUGCCUCACAGUUUGACUUGAUAAACUCCGGCUUGAAGGAUCUUGGGGAAGUUGUUUCUAUUAACCCGGUCUUUUUGAAAGCUGGAACUCCAUCACCAAUAGGUUUUGUCAUGAAUUUGCAUCAAUCUGAAGCAGAAGCUGGAUUUGAUAUUAGAGUGCCACCAACUACGGAUACAAAAUCACUGGAGAGGUGAAUUGCCGAAGAGUGGGCGCCUACUUGGCGUAAUAUGAAAUUAUUGAUAUGUGUGAUUAUUCUGUUGGGCUGAGCCGACAAUUGAAGGGAUCAAUUAUCCCAUCAGAAUGUCCAGAGCAUAUGAUGUUUGAGGUAUGGAACCCCCUGGGAACCGUAGGUGUAAUCACUGCUUUCAAUUUUCCAUGUGCUGUAAUAGGUAUGCUUUUUGUUUUCCUAUCUCAACACUCACAUUAAUAAACUUCUGG
Vicia villosa (hairy vetch) is the source of this 598-nucleotide RNA transcript. It is a transcript of the gene named aldehyde dehydrogenase family 7 member A1-like, with no coding region annotated. The record is from RefSeq and is a predicted model, not a curated record. NCBI's taxonomy places the organism in Eukaryota, Viridiplantae, Streptophyta, Magnoliopsida, Fabales, Fabaceae. The transcript is spliced from 5 exons.